Molecule: transfer RNA, 74 nt
Filed under: Pseudomonadota bacterium
Lineage: Bacteria; Pseudomonadati; Pseudomonadota
Also listed under: 1 other name
Description: tRNA-Gln
Rfam family: tRNA
About the family: Transfer RNA (tRNA) molecules are approximately 80 nucleotides in length. Their secondary structure includes four short double-helical elements and three loops (D, anti-codon, and T loops).
Source: RNAcentral
UGCCGGAUGGGGUAACGGUAGCCCACGUGACUCUGGAUCACGGUGUCUAGGUUCGAAUCCUAGUCCGGCAGCCA